UACGUAGGGUGCGAGCGUUAAUCGGAAUUACUGGGCGUAAAGCGUGCGCAGGCGGUUCGCCAAGUCAGGUGUGAAAUCCCCGGGCUUAACCUGGGAAUUGCGCUUGAAACUAGCGGGCUUGAGUGCGGCAGAGGGGGGUGGAAUUCCACGUGUAGCAGUGAAAUGCGUAGAGAUGUGGAGGAACACCGAUGGCGAAGGCAGCCCCCCGGGUCGACACUGACGCUCAUGCACGAAAGCGUGGGGAGCAAACAGG
This 253-nucleotide ribosomal RNA is filed under the name uncultured bacterium. Its description in RNAcentral is "partial 16S ribosomal RNA". It matches the Rfam family "Bacterial small subunit ribosomal RNA", at positions 524 to 776 of the family's 1533-position model. The record is from RNAcentral.